CAGAAGAGAGGAAGGUUUGUGAGGAAAACAAAGAAUGGCGCCUUGCUGCACACUGACCUAAAAAUAAUCCCUUUAUUAGUAUCAAUUAGCACAACUGCUGAAGCAAUGGAAAUAUAAUUAAAAACCUCCUUUAGUGGCAGGCCUUAUUUAAUUACAUUUUGCAAACUAUGGUCCCCAAAUACAUCUCACAUGACAUACGAUAUUGGAGCUCUUUUGAGCACCUAGUUCAACUGCUGCAAGCAUCAUGGAAGAUUAUUGGAGCAUUUGAUAUACCUAAUGACUGAGACAUAGCCCAGCAAAAGAGAUUCUUUGAUCUCCUAGUAUUAAAUGAGAGGAGUCAUAACUCAUGUAUCUCUCCUUUCCUUUUAUUUGGUUGUUAUUUGAAAACCUUUGGAUGUAGCAGAACUGCAGAUUGAUUAAGAAUGCCUUUUGAAAUCAUGUUUGAAAGUCCUGACUCCUGAGUCAAUGGUCUAUCUAGAGAGAUGAACUGUGAAGAAUUGGAGUUAUUUUGUUUCAAAGAAACAUCUUGGCCACGUUCAGUCUCUUUCAUCGCUCUAACUAAUCCCUUUGCUCCUCAUUUUUUCCUUCCUCGGUUCCUUUCUUUAGGUUUUUUAAAUUAUCAUAUUGUUAGAAGACUUAAAUCGAAUUAGGGAAUUUAUUUUAGUAUAAGGAGUCCAGAUCCAAUGGGAAUUGGCUACCUCGUGCUUCAUAUUUUUCUCGUCCUCGGUGGCUUUGGAAAUUGAGUAUCUUUUCUAUAUAGAUUUUCCUUAUUCUUGUAGGACAAUUAUCCAUGGAGUCAAUGUAUUUAUAGUGCCUAAAGAACACAUAUUCAAUUGAUCGAUUUAAUAAAAUUGACCUAAACUCUAAAUGUUUUUGGAGGUUUCAAACUGUCUUAAGUAAAUAUCCCAUCUUUUACCUCUUUCUCAUUUUCUGUUUCGUCUAUUUCUGCUCAAAAUACAAUUGAUAAGGGCUUUGGGUGUGGUCAUCUUGACAUCAAGUGUCCUUAGUGCAUGACUGUCACGUGCAAUCAAAAUGAAAAGUUUGAAUCAUAAACCUCAAUUUGUAUGCCAUGGAUACAGGAGUUCUUGUUAACAAGCCAACUAUCAAACCAUAGUUGCAAAGGAGGGCUGAGUUUGAAGCAAACUGGACAGGGAGAUUGCUCAAAAGCUUGAUCAGGUUAACAAGUUCCUCUAUCAUCUCUUCAAGCCACAAUAACUUAAGACUUCAAGCAACUUCAGAAGGACUGACAGGAACCAGCUUCAACAUUAGUUAUUAUUGCUAAAGAGCCUAUCAAACACAUAAUGGAGGAUAUGCAAGACCAAUGCCCUUAUGCAAAGGAUGCUAAACGUAAAAGGUUGUCAUGAUCAAAAUCUUGGCUUUUGCCCACACAAAGGUGGAGUUUCCUCAAAGGCAAGAUGGUGCUUCAUCAAGAUGGAUAACUGCAACCAGAAAGGUUUUCUUGUUUUCAUCAAAUUAUUAUUAUUAAGAAAAUGAAUGCAUCAAGUGGUAUAACAGGGUUUCAGUCUUUUCAUGUGAUGCCUCAACGAAAAGAAUUUGUCUGAAGAAUCCUUUUCUAUUUGGUCCCAUUGUUGUUAAAAUCUUACAAUUCAUGAUCUAGAUCUUACAAUCUGGACCAAAAUGCCCCUAGAUGAUCUGAUCCCAUCCUUGGAUCAGGAUCAAUGUAGGAACACAAGAUUUAGAUCCAUAUGAUGUACUAUAUGAUCCUCCUUGGAUCAGAGGAUCUAACUUGAUUAUGCUAAUUAAAAUCAUGGAUGGAUCAGUUUUCAGUAAUUAACAUGACUUUGGGGCUCUCAAAUUAUUUGCCAACAAUAACUCUUGGGUAGUAAAAUUAGUAAAUCUAUUAUUGAAGCUCAUAGAGUUGAUAAAAAAAAAGAAGAAUUUUUUUGUAUUUUUACAGCCACACGUUAAAGUCUUGUCCUUGCUUUUUCUAAAACAUUCUAUGUAAAACUAUUGUUAAAUUGAUUGAUAAUAUAUAAAUUUCUUGAAUAACCAAACAAAGUAUUGUUCCAUAAGACAUGCUAUGCGCCUAUAUUGGUCGAAACUAGAAUUUUUGGAAUAUAAGGCUUUCUAUUCACCAUUCAUCUAUUUUACACUUGACUCAUAUCUCAUUUCCUUAUAUUUAAAAAACAAAUCUGAAAGAAAUCGAAAAACACUUAUGAGUUAUGAUCCCAUCCAAUCUAACCCCCUUUAGGGUUUAUGACUAAAUCCCAAUCUUGAUAACAACAUUUGGGCCCUUCAGUCAUGAGUGUUAAAGGUGAGCAUGUAAAUAUCAGUCAAAACGUAUAUAAAGGCACUUAGAUAUCUGUUGUGAGUUUUAUUUUCAUGAAGAGUGAUCCUCAAACAUUACUUUGCAAGCAACAGAACACAAUCGAAAUUCAUAUUUCGUAUUUUUGCUGCAGUUGAUUCCAGAUAUCAGCAAUGGCAUUUUGAGGUUCCCUACGGUGUCCGAUGUCACUAUUUCUGACCAACUCUCCUUGGAUAAGGGAACUAAAUUACUUAAUUAAGUAUUUCAAAGCAUCAGUGCUGCUUCAGACUCAAUAUCUGGAUUUUGAAUAUUCUCUAAGGCACCAGAACAUGUCCGAAAAACAUACAACAUUCUCUUACACUUCAAGUGGCAAUAAACCAUGUAAAACAACUGCAGCAUUAUGAUGAAGAAUAUGCAGUUGUUUCAGGUCAUCAACUAGGCAAAAGAUAAUGCAUGAACCAAUCAAAUUAAAGAAAGUUGCAGUACUGAAUGGAUGCUGUCAUUUAAUUGAUAUCUUAGUUUCAUAAGAGCAUGUACACAGUGAUCCGUAUUUCUGUUCACAACAUAUACAGCAAAACAUGGAUAAUUCUAAAGCAUACUAGGAACAAAUUUUUUACAUUCUAAAAUAAAAAUAUGGCCACAACAAGAGCACUCCAAAUAAAAGAAAUAAAUCAUUAAUACUCUACGAAUCAUGGAAAGUUGGAAACAACAGUUUCAAUCAAGAUGCUCCUAAUGUCCUUAGUUAUUUAGUAAAAGCAAGAAGAAGAACGGUAAGAGAUAUCUGCUAAAGACCAAAAACAGAUCAGUGAAAGAGAAGUACAUCAGAUAAGCAUGUAGCAGUUGGAACAUGACGAUGAACAAUGUCCGCAGCCACAGAGACACCAGGUGCAGCCUGAAUAGAAUAUUAUGAAUAUUAGAUAGUAAACAAGAGUUAAAUUUACAUUAAAAAAAACUGAAAGAUAAGCUAAGAAACAAACCUUCACCAUUGUAAGGGUGUAACCAACCCCGUAUUUAUGCUUUAAGUAAAGGGAGCUGCCAAGAAAAAGAAAUUAUACAACUAAGAAGGUAGUUAAAGGCACAAACCCAAAAAAAUGUUGUGUAGAAUAUAAGGAGCUUGGUAAUUACUAUGUAUUAAAAGUUCUAAAUGUUAUUGCUUGCACUACCUCUUGAAAGUAAGAUUUGACCAAGACCCUCAUUCACAUAAGAUGGUACACCCACCAAAUUACAGAAUAAAGACAUUAACUACAUUCAACACAGAUAAUAGUAAGUUGGAAGGACACAACCAAGACAAAGAUACACCAUGGAAAGCAGUAUCACUGGAUAACUCAAUAUAGGCUCUAUAUGGUGGGAAGGCAAAACUAUGGGAGAGUUGAGGGAAUUAGACCUUUCAUGCUGAAUGGAUCAGAAUGUUGAGAAAUAAAGAAGUGGACAGAUACAUGGUAAGUAAAAUAUGAUAAGGAUGCUAAGGAGAAUAUGUAGUUCAGAUACUAAAGUUAAAAUUAGAGUCCAAUGGAUAAGUAAACUGGGUUAAGAAUAAAAUUUUGGGAUGUGUAUUACUAUGAUGGUCUGGUCAUAUACAAUGGAGGAAGCAAUCAUUGGUGCAUACUGCAUAGGAUGACACAUCAUCGACAAAACAAACCGGAGUAACUCAAAGAUUAUUUAGAUCGUGGUGGUCCACAACAAUCUGAAGAUGCUUUACCUACAAUAGGAUCAGGCUCUCGGUAUAAAUGAAUGGAAGAAGAGGAGCCUCAGUCUAAACCCCAAGAAACAAGGUCACAGCAUACUAAGUGUGCAGUCAUGCUAGUAACGUUGUCUAUUACAGAGUACAUUAAGUAUGUCUUAGUGAGUUCACUUUUUCUUUACCUUAACUAUUAUAAAUUCAUUAAUCUCUCUUUGUUUUCAAGCAUAAAGAGCUGAAUGAUAUAGACAGCGGAUGUAGAUAAUUAGGAUGCACUAUAUCGUAAUAACUCGGUGUACAACCAAGAACAUCCUCAUCAAAACCAUCCAUUAGUUCUUCUUCCUUAGCCUUGCACGAAAUCUCCGGCAAAACAAUCUGCUUCUGACCAUCUCCAUUUUAAUUUUUUUCCAAGAUUCUAGGUAUCUACCAAACUGGUUCAAUACAGUACCUCAAUGCUAUCUUCUUUAAAGGAAAAGCUUAGUAGUUCUUGACAAAGUUUGUUGACAGUAACUUGGUACAUAAACUUUCAGUAAGAAUUUGAGAACCCAUUGACAGAUUCAAAAUUACAAACAAUUCUUUUGAUGUUUUUCAACCAUCAAAACAAAAGGAAUCAUGAUCAAAUUGAACCUAGAUGCAACUGUUACGUGUCUAUUUGAGAAUUAACAUAUAUAUAUAAAAAAUUCCCCAUAAGUCAAUAUUCCAUGAAUUUAUUUACCGAAAGGCCAAGCAAAAAUCAAUUAUAUUAUAAUUAGAAUAUUAGAUGAAGAGCAUAUCUUAUUGCAAUUAUAUAAAUAUAUAUGCUGAUUAAACAUCAUAAGUUUGAACAGGUGAGACCUUCCACAGCAUCUCAAUUGACCAUUUGCCAUGAUAGCUAUUCGAUCACCUAGAACGUCGGCUUCAUCCAUGGAAUGUGUUGUCAAUAAUAUUAUCCUUCCCUUCUUGAUCUUCUUUAUCAACUGCCAUGUUGAACGCAUUGAGUAUGGAUCCAUACCACUGGUUGGUUCAUCAAGGAUGAUAACCUGUGAAUUGAGAACAAAUUUUACAUUUAUGAAGUAACAUGAAGAACAAUAUGGAAAGCAAUUAUUUUAUCUUCACCGCACCUUGCUAUUUCCAAUAAGAGCAAUACCAAGGGAUAAUUUCCUCUUCAUUCCCCCAGAAAGUGCACCUACAGUUGUGUUAACUUUGUCUGCCAAACCCACCUGAUCUCAAUCCAAUUAGUGAAGAAAAUAUAUAGGUUUGUUUCAUAAAAUUUCAUAAUGUCAUGGUUGAUUAAUUAUAACCAUUAUUCUUUUUCCACAAUACCAAUGCAUGGAAAUUGAGUAUUGUUUGUUAAGCAUGAGUACAUUAGUUGUUUCCCGGUUGGUAACCUGAAAAGGCAAUGGAGUAAAGAAAUGAAAAGGAUGGAAAAUUAUGAAGUACUGACUUAUACCUUCAGUUCAUGUUAUGAUGCUCGUUUCUUGACUUAUUUAUAUUUGGACAUGUAUGACAAUGACUAUACUCUUGAUAAUCAACAAGCACAUAACUACUAACAGCUAACAGUCUUUUUUCCUUAUCCCGACAACACUCUCGAAGUAGCGAGAACCUGGACCGGAGAGAGAUGCAUGGUAGGAGGCAACUCCCUUGCUGGAGAUAUUAGCCAUCUAAAGACUUUAAGAAUCAUAACAACCAAUAAUGUCUUAAUCUCUCUAAACUGAAGUUUGUCAUAAACAGUGUUUGGCUGAUGCUUGAAAAGAAGGAUUUGGAAAUUUUUAUUGGAAUUAGUAGACCCAAGGAAAGGACAUCCAGAAAUUGGGCAUUCAAACUAAAGAGAUGUAGAAUCAACUAUAUAUUAGCUCUAAUUGUUUUCACAAAUCACUGUUUGACUUUGAACAGUGGAUCAUUUAACAAACAAUUGAAGCAAGUACACCAGGAAAUCAAGCAUUUGCCGAGAUACAAGUUAGUUUAUUGUAAAAAACAUAUAGAAUCAUCAGAGCAGUCAGUUUUAGCAUGUGCAGAACUAGAAGAUGGACUGACAGGGAUCAAGAAUAAAAAAAAAAUGUAUACAAAAGCAUCUCCCUNNNNNNNNNNNNNNNNNNNNNNNNNNNNNNNNNNNNNNNNNNNNNNNNNNNNNNNNNNNNNNNNNNNNNNNNNNNNNNNNNNNNNNNNNNNNNNNNNNNNNNNNNNNNNNNNNNNNNNNNNNNNNNNNNNNNNNNNNNNNNNNNNNNNNNNNNNNNNNNNNNNNNNNNNNNNNNNNNNNNNNNNNNNNNNNNNNNNNNNNNNNNNNNNNNNNNNNNNNNNNNNNNNNNNNNNNNNNNNNNNNNNNNNNNNNNNNNNNNNNNNNNNNNNNNNNNNNNNNNNNNNNNNNNNNNNNNNNNNNNNNNNNNNNNNNNNNNNNNNNNNNNNNNNNNNNNNNNNNNNNNNNNNNNUCUCAAUCUUGAUAACAAUGUUUGGGCCCUUCAAUCAUGAGUGUUAAAGGUGAGCUUGCAAAUAUCAGUCACAACUAUUUGGCGUGUUAAAGUUAUUUUAAGCAGUUUGCAGAUAGUGUUCACAAUUGAUUAGAAAAAACCACUAGUCAAAACGUUUAUAAAGGGGUGUCACUUAGAUAUUUAUUAUGAACAAGGUCCGCUGUAUCGGUACCGGUUGGCGUACCGGUAGCGGCUCGGACCGGUACGUACCGAUCCCGUAUCGGUACGUACCGGUCCCGUAUCGGUACGUACCGGUCCCGUAUCGGUCCGUACCGGUCCCGUACCGGUACGGCAGUUGUACCGGCCAGUUUUUCAAUGACAAGCUCCCAGUACCGGAUCCCACGCUGAUCCGGUACCAGUGCCUAUCCGGACCGGUUCGUAUCGGCCCGUGGCCGGUACGGCAUACCCUGGUUGUGAGUUUUAUUUUCAUGAAGAGUGAUCCUCAAACAUUACUUUGCAAACAACAGAAUACAAUCGAAAUUCAUAUUUCAUAUUUUUGCUGCAGUUGAUUCCAGAUAUCAGCAGUGGCAUUUUGAGGUUCCCUACGGUGUCCGCUGUCACUAUUUCUGACCAACUCUCCUUGAAAAAGAGAACUGAAUUACUUAAUUAACUAUUUUAAAGUAUCAGUGCAGCUUCAGACUCAAUAUUUGGAUUUUGAAUAUCCUCUAAAGCUCCAGAGCAUGUCCGAAAAACAUACAACAUUCUGUUACACUUCAAGUGGCAAUAAACCAUGCAAAACAACUAUAGCAUUAUGAUAAAGAAUAUGCAGUUGUUUCAAGUCAUCAACUAGGCAAAAGAUAACGCAUGAACUAGUCAAAUUAGAGAAAGUUGUAGUACUGCAUGGAUGCUGUCAUUUAAUUGAUAUUUUAGUUUCAUAAGAGCAUGUACAUAGUGAUCCGUAUUUCUGUUCACAACACAUACAGUGAAACAUGGAUAAUUCUAAAGCAUACUAGGAACAAAUUUUUUACAUUCUAAAAUAAAUAUGUGGCCACAACAAGAGCAAUCCAAAUAAAAGAAAUAAAUCAUUGAUACUCUAUGAAUCAUGGAAAGUUGGAAACAACAGUUUCAAUCAAGAUGCUCCUAAUGUCCAUAGUUAUUUCGUAAAAGCAAGAAGAAGAUCGGCAAGAGAUAUCUGCUAAAGACCAAAAACAGAUCAGUGAAAGAGAAGUACAUCAGAUAAGCAUGUAGCAGUUGGAACAUGACGAUGAACAAUGUCCGCAGCCACAGAGACACCAUGUGCAGCCUAAAUAGAAUAUUAUGAAUAUUAGAUAGUAAACAAGAGUUAAAUUUACAUUAAAAAACUGAAAGAUAAGCUAAGAAACAAACCUUUACCAUUGUAAGGGUGUAACCAACCCCGUAUUUAUGCUUUAAGUAAAGGGAGCUGCCAAGAAAAAGAAAUUAUACAGCUAAGAAGGUAGUUAAAGGCACAAACUCAAAAAAAUGUUGUGUAGAAUAUAAGGAGCUUGGUAAUUGCUAUGUAUUAAAAUUUCUGAAUGUUAUUGCUUGCAUUACCUCUUGAAAGCAAGAUUUGACCUAGAUCCUUGUUCACAUAAGGUGGUACACCCACCAAAUUACGAAUAAAGACAUUAACUACAUUCAACACACGGAUAAGAGUAAGUUGGAAGGACACAACCAAGAUAAAGAUACACCAUGGAAAUCAGUAUCACUGGAUAACUCAAUAUAGGCUCUAUAUGGUGGGAAGGCAAAACUAUGGGACAGUUGAGGGAAUUAGACCUUUCAUGCUGAAUGGAUCACAAUGUUGAGAAAUAAAGAAGUGGACAAUACAUGGUAAGUAAAAUAUGAUAAGGAUGCUAAGGAGAAGAUGUAGUUCAGAUACUAAAGUUAAAAUUAGAGUCCAAUGGAUAAGUUAAAGUAAAUUGGGUUAAGAAUAAGAUUUUGGGAUGUGUAUUACUAUGAUGGUCUGGUCAUAUACAAUGGAGGAAGCAAACAUUGGUGCAUACUGCAUAGGAUGACACAUCAUCGACAAAACAAACAGGAGUAACUCAAAGACUACUUAGAUCGUGGUGGUCCACAACAAUGUGAAGAUGCUUUGCCUACAAUAGGAUCAGGCUCUCAGUAUAAAUGAAUGGAAGAAGAGGAACCUCAGUCUAAACCCCAAGAAACAAGGUCCCAGCAUACUAAGUGUGCAGUCAUGCUAGUAACUUUGUGCAGGCAAACCAGAAAAAUAACAGAAUAUCUAUUAUAGAGUACAUUAAGUAUGUCUUAGUGAGUUCACUUUUUCUUUAGCCUAACUAUUCUAUAUCCAUUAAUCUCUCUUUGAUCUCAAGCAUAAAGAGGUGAAUGAAUAGACAGCGGAUGUAGAUAAUUAGGAUGCACUAUAUUGUAAUAACUCAGGGUACAACCAAGAACAUCCUCAUCAAAGCCAUCCAUUAGUUCUUCUUCCUUAGCCUUGCACAAAAUCUCCAGCAAAACCAUCUGCUUCUGACCAUCUCCAUUUUAAUUUUUUUCCAAGAUUCUAGGUAUCUACCAAACUGGUUGAAUAUAAUACCUCAACGCUAUCUUCUUUAAAGGAAAAGCUUAGUAGUUCUUGAUAAAGUUGUUGACAGUAACUUACUACAUAAUCUUUCAGUAAGAAUUUGAGUACCCAUUGACAGAUACAAAAUUACAAAUAUCUGGCAGAGAUAUAGUAAGUUCCAUAUAAUGUGGAUCAGCAAUCUUUUGAGGUUUUUCAACUAUCAAAACAAAAGGAAUCAUGAUGAAAUUGAACCUAGAUGCAACUGUCAGAUGUCUAUUUGAGAAUAAAAACAUAUAUAAAAAAACUUCCCCAU
This 9177-nucleotide long non-coding RNA is filed under the name Phoenix dactylifera (date palm). RNAcentral's name for it is "long non-coding RNA (PDAC_LNC001939)". The record is from RNAcentral. Lineage: Eukaryota; Viridiplantae; Streptophyta; Magnoliopsida; Arecales; Arecaceae.